RNAcentral lists this ribosomal RNA (468 nucleotides) under uncultured bacterium. RNAcentral's name for it is "partial 16S ribosomal RNA". It matches the Rfam family "Bacterial small subunit ribosomal RNA", at positions 28 to 507 of the family's 1533-position model. The record is from RNAcentral.
GACGAACGCUGGCGGCGUGCUUAACACAUGCAAGUCGAACGGAAAGGCCCUGCUUUUGUGGGGUGCUCGAGUGGCGAACGGGUGAGUAACACGUGAGUAACCUGCCCUUGACUUUGGGAUAACUUCAGGAAACUGGGGCUAAUACCGGAUAGGAGCUCCUGCUGCAUGGUGGGGGUUGGAAAGUUUCGGCGGUUGGGGAUGGACUCGCGGCUUAUCAGCUUGUUGGUGGGGUAGUGGCUUACCAAGGCUUUGACGGGUAGCCGGCCUGCGAGGGUGACCGGCCACAUUGGGACUGAGAUACAGCCCAGACUCCUACGGGAGGCAGCAGUGGGGAAGAUUGCACAAUGGGCGGAAGCCUGAUGCAGCAACGCCGCGUGCGGGAUGACGGCCUUCGGGUUGUAAACCGCUUUCGCCUGUGACGAAGCGAGAGUGACGGUAAUGGGUAAAGAAGCACCGGCUAACUACGUG